Molecule: ribosomal RNA, 446 nt
Filed under: uncultured bacterium
Lineage: Bacteria
Description: partial 16S ribosomal RNA
Rfam family: Bacterial small subunit ribosomal RNA
Source: RNAcentral
CCUACGGGAGGCAGCAGUCGAGAAUCUUUCACAAUGGGCGAAACCCUGAUGGUGCGACGCCGCGUGGGGGAAUGAAGUUCUUCGGAUUGUAAACCCCUGUCAUGUGGGAGCAAAUUAAAAAGAUAGUACCACAAGAGGAAGAGACGGCUAACUCUGUGCCAGCAGCCUCGGUAAUACAGAGGUCUCAAGCGUUGUGCGGAAUCACGGGGCGUAAAGCGUGCGUAGGCUGUUUCGUAAGACGUGUGUGAAAGGCGCGGGCUCAACCCUCGGAGGGCACAUGAGACUGGGAGACUAGAGUAUUGGAGAGGUAACCGGAAUUCUCGGUGUAGCAGUGAAAUGCGUAGAUAUCGAGAGGAACACUCGUGGCGAAGGCAGGUUACUGGACAUUAACUGACGCUGAGGCACGAAGGCCAGGGGAGCGAAAAGGAUUAGAUACCCUGGUAGUC